CUUCUUUUUCCCCGGAGCUUGCUCCACCGGAAAAAGAAGAGUGGCGAACGGGUGAGUAACACGUGGGUAACCUGCCCAUCAGAAGGGGAUAACACUUGGAAACAGGUGCUAAUACCGUAUAACAAUCGAAACCGCAUGGUUUUGAUUUGAAAGGCGCUUUCGGGUGUCGCUGAUGGAUGGACCCGCGGUGCAUUAGCUAGUUGGUGAGGUAACGGCUCACCAAGGCCACGAUGCAUAGCCGACCUGAGAGGGUGAUCGGCCACAUUGGGACUGAGACACGGCCCAAACUCCUACGGGAGGCAGCAGUAGGGAAUCUUCGGCAAUGGACGAAAGUCUGACCGAGCAACGCCGCGUGAGUGAAGAAGGUUUUCGGAUCGUAAAACUCUGUUGUUAGAGAAGAACAAGGAUGAGAGUAACUGUUCAUCCCUUGACGGUAUCUAACCAGAAAGCCACGGCUAACUACGUGCCAGCAGCCGCGGUAAUACGUAGGUGGCAAGCGUUGUCCGGAUUUAUUGGGCGUAAAGCGAGCGCAGGCGGUUUCUUAAGUCUGAUGUGAAAGCCCCCGGCUCAACCGGGGAGGGUCAUUGGAAACUGGGAGACUUGAGUGCAGAAGAGGAGAGUGGAAUUCCAUGUGUAGCGGUGAAAUGCGUAGAUAUAUGGAGGAACACCAGUGGCGAAGGCGGCUCUCUGGUCUGUAACUGACGCUGAGGCUCGAAAGCGUGGGGAGCAAACAGGAUUAGAUACCCUGGUAGUCCACGCCGUAAACGAUGAGUGCUAAGUGUUGGAGGGUUUCCGCCCUUCAGUGCUGCAGCUAACGCAUUAAGCACUCCGCCUGGGGAGUACGACCGCAAGGUUGAAACUCAAAGGAAUUGACGGGGGCCCGCACAAGCGGUGGAGCAUGUGGUUUAAUUCGAAGCAACGCGAAGAACCUUACCAGGUCUUGACAUCCUUUGACCACUCUAGAGAUAGAGCUUCCCCUUCGGGGGCAAAGUGACAGGUGGUGCAUGGUUGUCGUCAGCUCGUGUCGUGAGAUGUUGGGUUAAGUCCCGCAACGAGCGCAACCCUUAUUGUUAGUUGCCAUCAUUCAGUUGGGCACUCUAGCAAGACUGCCGGUGACAAACCGGAGGAAGGUGGGGAUGACGUCAAAUCAUCAUGCCCCUUAUGACCUGGGCUACACACGUGCUACAAUGGGAAGUACAACGAGUCGCGAAGUCGCGAGGCUAAGCUAAUCUCUUAAAGCUUCUCUCAGUUCGGAUUGUAGGCUGCAACUCGCCUACAUGAAGCCGGAAUCGCUAGUAAUCGCGGAUCAGCACGCCGCGGUGAAUACGUUCCCGGGCCUUGUACACACCGCCCGUCACACCACGAGAGUUUUAACACCCGAAGUCGGUGAG
This 1391-nucleotide ribosomal RNA is filed under the name Enterococcus durans. Its description in RNAcentral is "bacterial SSU rRNA". It matches the Rfam family "Bacterial small subunit ribosomal RNA", at positions 68 to 1434 of the family's 1533-position model. Lineage: Bacteria; Bacillati; Bacillota; Bacilli; Lactobacillales; Enterococcaceae. The record is from RNAcentral.